This 460-nucleotide ribosomal RNA is filed under the name Streptococcus gordonii. RNAcentral describes it as "bacterial SSU rRNA". It matches the Rfam family "Bacterial small subunit ribosomal RNA", at positions 28 to 465 of the family's 1533-position model. The record is from RNAcentral. Lineage: Bacteria; Bacillati; Bacillota; Bacilli; Lactobacillales; Streptococcaceae.
GACGAACGCUGGCGGCGUGCCUAAUACAUGCAAGUAGAACGCACAGUAUAUACCGUAGCUUGCUACACCAUAGACUGUGAGUUGCGAACGGGUGAGUAACGCGUAGGUAACCUGCCUGGUAGCGGGGGAUAACUAUUGGAAACGAUAGCUAAUACCGCAUAAUAUUGAUUAUUGCAUGAUAAUUAAUUGAAAGAUGCAAUUGCAUCACUACCAGAUGGACCUGCGUUGUAUUAGCUAGUAGGUGAGGUAACGGCUCACCUAGGCGACGAUACAUAGCCGACCUGAGAGGGUGAUCGGCCACACUGGGACUGAGACACGGCCCAGACUCCUACGGGAGGCAGCAGUAGGGAAUCUUCGGCAAUGGACGAAAGUCUGACCGAGCAACGCCGCGUGAGUGAAGAAGGUUUUCGGAUCGUAAAGCUCUGUUGUAAGAGAAGAACGGGUGUGAGAGGGAAAGUUC